GGGGAUGUAGCUCAGUUGGUAGAGUGCUUGUCUUGCAUGCACAAGGCCUUGGGUUCAAUCCCCAGCACCACUA
Molecule: transfer RNA, 73 nt
Filed under: Ictidomys tridecemlineatus (thirteen-lined ground squirrel)
Lineage: Eukaryota; Metazoa; Chordata; Mammalia; Rodentia; Sciuridae
Description: Spermophilus tridecemlineatus (thirteen-lined ground squirrel) tRNA
Rfam family: tRNA
About the family: Transfer RNA (tRNA) molecules are approximately 80 nucleotides in length. Their secondary structure includes four short double-helical elements and three loops (D, anti-codon, and T loops). Further hydrogen bonds mediate the characteristic L-shaped molecular structure. tRNAs have two regions of fundamental functional importance: the anti-codon, which is responsible for specific mRNA codon recognition, and the 3' end, to which the tRNAs corresponding amino acid is attached (by aminoacyl-tRNA synthetases). tRNAs cope with the degeneracy of the genetic code in two manners: having more than one tRNA (with a specific anti-codon) for a particular amino acid; and 'wobble' base-pairing, i.e. permitting non-standard base-pairing at the 3rd anti-codon position.
Source: Rfam by way of RNAcentral